This 354-nucleotide ribosomal RNA is filed under the name Burkholderia sp. SILP5. RNAcentral's name for it is "bacterial SSU rRNA". It matches the Rfam family "Bacterial small subunit ribosomal RNA", at positions 556 to 910 of the family's 1533-position model. Lineage: Bacteria; Pseudomonadati; Pseudomonadota; Betaproteobacteria; Burkholderiales; Burkholderiaceae. The record is from RNAcentral.
GGGCGUAAAGCGUGCGCAGGCGGUCCGCUAAGACAGAUGUGAAAUCCCCGGGCUUAACCUGGGAACUGCAUUUGUGACUGGCGGGCUAGAGUAUGGCAGAGGGGGGUAGAAUUCCACGUGUAGCAGUGAAAUGCGUAGAGAUGUGGAGGAAUACCGAUGGCGAAGGCAGCCCCCUGGGCCAAUACUGACGCUCAUGCACGAAAGCGUGGGGAGCAAACAGGAUUAGAUACCCUGGUAGUCCACGCCCUAAACGAUGUCAACUAGUUGUUGGGGAUUCAUUUCCUUAGUAACGUAGCUAACGCGUGAAGUUGACCGCCUGGGGAGUACGGUCGCAAGAUUAAAACUCAAAGGAAU